GCCUUGAGAGUGGCGAACGGGUGAGUAAUGCAUCGGAACGUACCCAGUCGUGGGGGACAACGUAGCGAAAGUUACGCUAAUACCGCAUACGACCUGAGGGUGAAAGUGGGGGACCGCAAGGCCUCACGCGAUUGGAGCGGCCGAUGUCAGAUUAGCUAGUUGGUGGGGUAAAGGCCCACCAAGGCGACGAUCUGUAGCGGGUCUGAGAGGAUGAUCCGCCACACUGGGACUGAGACACGGCCCAGACUCCUACGGGAGGCAGCAGUGGGGAAUUUUGGACAAUGGGGGCAACCCUGAUCCAGCCAUGCCGCGUGCGGGAAGAAGGCCUUCGGGUUGUAAACCGCUUUCGGACGGAAAGAAAUCGCAUGGGCUAAUACCCUGUGUG
This 385-nucleotide ribosomal RNA is filed under the name uncultured bacterium. Its description in RNAcentral is "bacterial SSU rRNA". It matches the Rfam family "Bacterial small subunit ribosomal RNA", at positions 86 to 470 of the family's 1533-position model. The record is from RNAcentral.